UCUCUCUGAAAGCCAUAUACUCUCCUUCAAUUAUGCAGUGUAUGUCUGGCUUUUCUUCUCCCAAUCUUCAUGCUUUCGAAUGCUUCAUAUGCUUUGCUUUUGUCGGCUUGAGGGAUUGAAGCUUUCAGAUCACAUGAUAUGCUUUGAUUUAAUUUGUUGGUGUGAGGGGAUGAAGCUGCCAGCAUGAUCUGUUCAAUUAUGUCUAUACAUACCAAGCCUAGCCGGUUCAGUUCAAAAAAAACAACUUUUUUGCUUAUAAUUUCUCUUUCGUUUUUUUAUCAUUCUUCUCUUCUGUUUUGCCUCUCAAAUAUCUUAGCUACUUUUCUUAAUUUGCAUGUUCUCUCUCUCUCCCUCUAUCUCUUUGACCCUGUUUCAUAUUGGUGUGGUUCAAAGAUCAGAUCAUGUUGCAGCUUCAAUCACUCACCAUCAACAAAGGGCUCUUUUAGAGUGCGUUGGAUUUUCUGAUCGUCUGAUUUGCAUCACAUAUGGUUCAGAUUCUGGCAAUUCGUGAGGAAUUGACAAGGAAUCGCCAACGAUGAGACUGAAAUAAUUUUGAGCACAGUGAGCAUGUCUUUUCAUGCGAGUAAUUAAUAUCUUUUCAUGAUGACAUUUAGGUUUUGCAGGUUAAAUUUAGUAUGUUUCAAAUCAAAUAAAAAUAUAUUGUAUGUUGUAUAUAGUGUACAGAUUCUUAUAUAAUAUGUAUAAUAUUGUUGUGUAUAAAGUAUGGAUGCAUCAGAAUUCUGCAUGUAAUAUUCUCUUCAAAAUGAAAAAAAGAAAUUAUGCA
Phalaenopsis equestris is the source of this 784-nucleotide long non-coding RNA. RefSeq lists it as uncharacterized. The record is from RefSeq and is a predicted model, not a curated record. The transcript is spliced from 2 exons. Lineage: Eukaryota; Viridiplantae; Streptophyta; Magnoliopsida; Asparagales; Orchidaceae.